GCAACGGAUAUCUCGGCUCUCGCAUCGAUGAAGAACGUAGCGAAAUGCGAUACUUGGUGUGAAUUGCAGAAUCCCGUGAACCAUCGAGUCUUUGAACGCAAGUUGCGCCCGAAGCCACUAGGCCGAGGGCACGCCUGCCUGGGCGUCACGCGCCGUUGCCCCCCUC
This 166-nucleotide ribosomal RNA is filed under the name Crataegus spathulata. RNAcentral describes it as "5.8S ribosomal RNA". The stretch from base 1 to 148 matches the Rfam family "5.8S ribosomal RNA". Rfam says of the family: 5.8S ribosomal RNA (5.8S rRNA) is a component of the large subunit of the eukaryotic ribosome. It is transcribed by RNA polymerase I as part of the 45S precursor that also contains 18S and 28S rRNA. Lineage: Eukaryota; Viridiplantae; Streptophyta; Magnoliopsida; Rosales; Rosaceae. The record is from RNAcentral.